GACGAACGCUGGCGGCGUGCUUAACACAUGCAAGUCGAACGGAAAGGCCCUGCUUUUGUGGGGUGCUCGAGUGGCGAACGGGUGAGUAACACGUGAGUAACCUGCCCUUGACUUUGGGAUAACUUCAGGAAACUGGGGCUAAUACCGGAUAGGAGCUCCUGCUGCAUGGUGGGGGUUGGAAAGUUUCGGCGGUUGGGGAUGGACUCGCGGCUUAUCAGCUUGUUGGUGGGGUAGUGGCUUACCAAGGCUUUGACGGGUAGCCGGCCUGAGAGGGUGACCGGCGACAUUGGGACUGAGAUACGCAGCAGAGGCGUACGGGAGGCAGCGGUGGGGAGUAUGGCACAAGGGGCCGGAGCCGGAUGAAGCGACGUCGCGUGCGGGAUGCCGGCCUGCGGGUAGAAAACAGCUUCAGCCUGUGACGAAGCGGGUGUGACGGUACUGGGUAAAGAAGCACCGGCUAACUACGUG
RNAcentral lists this ribosomal RNA (468 nucleotides) under uncultured bacterium. Its description in RNAcentral is "partial 16S ribosomal RNA". It matches the Rfam family "Bacterial small subunit ribosomal RNA", at positions 28 to 507 of the family's 1533-position model. The record is from RNAcentral.